Molecule: ribosomal RNA, 395 nt
Filed under: Itarissa costaricensis
Lineage: Eukaryota; Metazoa; Arthropoda; Insecta; Orthoptera; Tettigoniidae
Description: partial 12S ribosomal RNA
Source: RNAcentral
UAUUAUUUAAAUUGUUAAUUACUUGCUUGAGUAGUAUUAGUUAAAUUCUUGAAACUCAAAGAAUUUGGCGGUAUCUUAGUCUUUUCAGAGGAAUCUGUCCUUUAAUGGAUAUUACACAUUUUAUGUCACUUGAUUUUGUAUUCAGUUUGUAUAUCGUCGUCAUAAGAUUAUCUUUUUAGAGGUAGAAUUUUCAAUAAAUUUAUUAUAUAAGAUGACAGAUCAAGGUGCAGCUUAUAUUCAAGGAGAGAUGGAUUACAAUAAAAUGAUUUAUUACGAAUUUUUAAAUAAUAUAAAUUAAGAUGAAGGUGGAUUUGAAGGUAAUUCUAUUAUAUUAUAUUAUUAUGAUUUAGCUCUAAGGUGUGCACAAAUCGCCCGUCGCUCUCAUUAUAAUUGAG